Long non-coding RNA from Vicia villosa (hairy vetch), 430 nucleotides. RefSeq lists it as uncharacterized. The record is from RefSeq and is a predicted model, not a curated record. NCBI's taxonomy places the organism in Eukaryota, Viridiplantae, Streptophyta, Magnoliopsida, Fabales, Fabaceae. The transcript has 2 exons.
CAUGGUAACUUAAAAACCAAAACCCCUAAAAGAAAACAUUACAAUAAAACGAUGGAGGUGGCAAGAAAAUAUUCUAUAACAGUGGCAUUUUUGUUGGCUUUUUUUAUCAUUGCAUCAGAUAUGGCUACAGAAUCACAAGCAAGAGGAGUGAAUGAGAAUACAAAUCAAGCAUGUUCCAUUGAUACCGAUUGUUUAAUGAAACAUUUUCCUUGCCCAACCAACAUGGUCCCAUUCUGUGUUGAUGGUUCGUGUCAAUGUUUUCAUGAAUAGUUAUGUUUAGACGAGAAUAAUAAAUAAAACAAUUUCAACAUAUAAAAUGAUAUGGUUUUAUAUUAAAAUAAUUACAAUAUCUAUUAUAUGGAAAAACCAAUGUUUAUAUUGGUAUUAGAUUGUAUUUCUUUUAGAAUAAAAUAUAAAGAAGUUUUGUUUU